CCUACGGGAGGCAGCAGUCGGGAAUAUUGCGCAAUGGAGGAAACUCUGACGCAGUGACGCCGCGUGCAGGAAGAAGGUUUUCGGAUUGUAAACUGCUUUAGUCAAGGAAGAUACAAGACAGUACUUGAAGAAUAAGCACCGGCUAACUAUGUGCCAGCAGCCGCGGUAAU
RNAcentral lists this ribosomal RNA (170 nucleotides) under uncultured bacterium. RNAcentral describes it as "partial 16S ribosomal RNA". It matches the Rfam family "Bacterial small subunit ribosomal RNA", at positions 338 to 524 of the family's 1533-position model. The record is from RNAcentral.